CAGGCGGGCACCUCUUAGAUAAGCUUAACGACUAAUUCCAAAUAAAAUCACGAUGGGACGGGAACAAUGUGGAGCUAAAAACCGCAAACCUGUGCCAGGAUCCCCUGCCAGGAUAGUCUGGAACGAUGACCACCGUGAUUAAGUCAAGUCAGCAUGACCCUCCACGUUCACUGAAAUUGAACAAGCUCAUUGUCGCCGUCUGAGCCGUGUGCUCUGCUGAGAGCUGCGUAAUGUGGAUUAUGUGGGAGGCUAAACAUUGUGGCGUGGCUUCGGUCAAACUGAGAUCAGCUCAGAACUUCUGCCGGCGACAUCUCUCUGAUGGAAUUCAUGCAACGCGUUCAUACAACAGGUGCUGCGGCGGAUGAAUGGAUGCUGAUGCUUGACGUCAGCCGGCUCUCGGUGAUAUCAUCUGGCUUCGGUCGGUCUGCAGGAGGGGAGAUGACUUACAGUAUAUAUGUUCUGCCUCUAAAUAACACACAUUCCCUGAAUUUUAACAGUCGUAUUGAUUUUUCGAGCCUGGACAGCGACGCUCAUUUACCCCAUUAUUUAUAGAAGAUGCACUAAAAGAAUGAAUAUAUUUCAAUUUCACAACUUUAUUUUACUGUGAGUGUGAGGUUCUCUACGGUUAUAAACACUGGUGAUCUACCGAUGCAAAGCAGAAUACGCGCCCUCGUCUCAUUUAUAAUGUGUUCUGAGUCAAGUUUAUUCAUUGGAUGACGGCGUAAUCGUAAUACAUCAUACUCAGACGUGGAUGGCGAAGCGCCCUCACAUGUUAUUUGUCCCGAAGGCCCACUGAAGCUGCUUAGUUUUAGGGUUUCUCCGAGAUCCCACUGUCUCGACGGUAUCGAUCAGACUUGCAUCACUGGGCUGAUUUUAUUAGAUGGCUCUGACCUUUCUACUGCAGGCAUCAUGUUAAUAUUGCCAAAUCAAUGGACAUGAAUAUGGUGAUGCGGGGAACGUGGGCACAGGGAGACAAUAAAAACAAAUGGAGAGAAGCGUGCCUGUAUAUGUGUGUAUGUGUGUGGUCCCUUAAAUUAGGGUGCAGUUUUUCUGUUUUUCUUCCAAAAAAGUCACCUGGGAAGGAUUGAAAGUACUGUAGCUAAGACACAGGGGAAAAAAAGAAAAAAAGGGAAGAAAGCUCCCCGGAUGUCUGUGGCGCUCACCAGCAUUUGAGAUAAAUGGACUACUGUGAAUUUUUAUUGGGGGACAUUAAAAAACCAGAAUCGCAGUUCAUCUUGGA
This is a long non-coding RNA of Mugil cephalus (flathead mullet), 1240 nucleotides long. RefSeq lists it as uncharacterized. NCBI's taxonomy places the organism in Eukaryota, Metazoa, Chordata, Actinopteri, Mugiliformes, Mugilidae. The transcript has 3 exons. The record is from RefSeq and is a predicted model, not a curated record.